CAAGUACUCCCUCUGUCCGGAAUUACUUGUCAUCAAAAUGGAUGUGUCUAGAACUAAAAUACAUCUAGAUACAUCCAUUUCAAUGACACGUAUUUUCGGACGGAGGGAGUACAAG
This is a non-coding RNA of Triticum aestivum (bread wheat), 115 nucleotides long. The record is from Rfam. NCBI's taxonomy places the organism in Eukaryota, Viridiplantae, Streptophyta, Magnoliopsida, Poales, Poaceae.